RNAcentral lists this long non-coding RNA (360 nucleotides) under Homo sapiens (human). Its description in RNAcentral is "non-protein coding lnc-NR2C2-6:1". The record is from RNAcentral. Lineage: Eukaryota; Metazoa; Chordata; Mammalia; Primates; Hominidae.
AUUUAAGGGACUGGAAGUUUGUCUAAACAGUGAUACACAUUCGGUUGCAAAACUAGAAAGCUCAGUGAUUUGAUAAAUAAAAUGAUAUGCCUGUUUGGGAAAUGCCUGUGGUAUUUCACGUCUUUAUUUUUAUUUGUAAACCACUUGAAAUUUAGCGUUUGUUUUCCUUCUUUGGUAGGUUUCUGGUUUAGAAUUAAGUUGCCAGAAACUUAAAAAAAGAGAAAUGUGAUAAUUUAUUUUAUAUACUGUGCAUUAGAAAUGUACUUCUUUUUGAAAAUUCUUCAGGGGUAGGAACAGCCCAUUUUCAUGUAAGCCAUUAGACUAAAAGAUAAAAUGGUGUGAUCUUAGAUUACAAAUGUG